GAUGGAUGGAUGGAUGGAUGGAUGGAUGGAUAAAUGGAGGGAUGCAUGAUGAAUUUCUCCCUUGUUCCCAGCCUAGUCCUAGAAUAUGUUGCCUCUUCUCAAAAAUAAGGUACCACAAAGCCUCUGGUGACGGUGGAGCAAAGGAAUAGAUGGUGAAUGUCUCAUACCCACUUCGGAUCCAGAACAGGCCUAGGAGAGACUCAGGGACACGGCUUCCCCUGAACGCGGAUCCUAGAGGCCAGGCAGAAGCAGCAUGGGUUUCCACUCACACGGUAGGCGGCUGUGCAAUUUCGUCUGGAGUCCCCAGACCCCUCCUCAUCCUUCCCAGGGUUGCUCUGAGGCCAUUCCUUGUCAUCUAGGAGGGGUCUACAUAAAAGCAUUUAUAAACACCUCCAAAUGGGAGCCAGGCGUGCCCACCUUUGGAGCACUUUUCUCUACUGCAAAUUUAUCUACUGCUCGUGAAAUCUCUGGAUUUAACUCUGAUGAAAGACUGGAGGCUGAAGGAGAACUUCAAUAUCAUAUAUUUUAAAGGUUGAUUCACAGUUUGGAGCAAGAAUUAAAGAACCACGAACUUCAAGGUAAAACGGGCAACGGCGUUGGGGCAAGCCUCUCUGCAUCUGCGUGUCCAGCCUCUCCUGCGUGCCAGAAGUUCCCAGGCAGGAGUGUGGUGGGACAUCCGGCUGGGGUGAUGUAAAAUUCUCAAACAAUGAGAUAGAUAAAAAGUACGCAGCCAAAAAGUUCAAGAAGAAGUGUUAUGGAGAUGGAGCAGGCCCUUCGUAAAAACACGAUGUUGGUUUUCUGGAUUUUGGAGGCCUCACAAAACCCGGAUCAGACUCGCCCACUGCCCUGUGUCUGCCCUCCCGACCGCCUCUCCUGCCCAGCAGGGAUGAGGGUGGCAGUGGUGCUGUGUGGAGGGUGGCGGGAGGACCUGGAAGACUGCGACCAGUGAGCCGGGAGGCCUUGGGACAGCCUCUCUCUGAAUCAUCCUGUGCACUGCCGGGUGUGACAGAGGCUCCUAGAAUCCUGUCUCAAGUGGCCGCCUUCACAGAGGGAGUCACUGACGUCCCUGCUCAGCGCAGCCCUGGCAUGUGGGGGUCCCUCUACUCAUGAGAAACCCCCACCCAAUCACCGUGAGGUGUGUGACCCAUGCUCACAUCCAGGGGCCACUCAUUCAUUCAGGAAACAUUGGCCGAGCCCUCAGCAGGGGGCGGUGCUGGAUGCCGGGAUGUAGAGAGUGGGGUGGGACAAGGACUUGGUUGUGAGACGUCCCAGUCCGGGGAAGGACUAAGAGAAGGUGACAUGGACAGUCUAGACUACCCGUCAUUGGUUCUCCACUGGGGGCAGUAUUGGCAAUGUUUAGGUAUAAAUUUGUUGUCACAAUGAAUGCUACCAACGUCUAGUGGGUGGAGGCCGGGGGUGCGGCUCAGCAUCCUACCAGGUGUCGGACGGCCCCCACCACCGAGUGCCAGCCCCGAGGGCAGCCCAGGGUGCCCCAGUGGUGAGGAGCCCCGGUGUGGAGUGCAGGGUUCGUUUGGACCACGGCUGUAGAGGCCUAGGGGAGCUCCCGCCAUCAGGAUGGCCGGGCAUCAGGGCUCUGUGAGGGGGAAGGGGGCAUCAGUGCAGCGGCAGGCAGGGGUUCGACGGGCUGAGUCCUGCGACGUGUUGCAUCCACACCAGUGUCUGGGGCCAGCACCACCGCUCAGUCUCUGAACCCACUUAUUUCGCCCAAUAUUGCUUGAGUGGGAAGUUCCACCUUCCCCAGUCGGCUGCUUAUCUCGUCUUUCCAAUGCAGUUAGGAAGGGAAAAUAUUUUCUCCCCAUUUUACAGAUGAAGAAAUGGGGCCUGGCGAGGAGCAAAGCCCAGAACUGCUGCCCACCACCCUCCCUGCCUGGUGCUUUCCUGGGAACAUGUGGGAGCCCCUGCCUGGACCUUGGGACCUCCCAUCUGUAAUUGCAGGCCCUGGUCUGCCUGUAUGGAUGUGGAAUGUGUCACUCGGGAUCCUGGAGUCCUCCUGAGCUUGUCCAGCAGGGCUGCAUUCACUGAUGUGCUGACAGAGGCCUAGGCUCGGACCUCUAGGAAUAUCCAAGGCAUCUCAUUAUGCAGAAAACCACCCUCAUGAGGUCCUGGAGGCCUCUCUCCAUCUUCCUGGGGGUGAUGCAAUAGAGUGUAACUUCCAUGCUGCCGAGACAGGCCAUGAGGGGUUGCCCCCGUUGGAGGGGCAGAGUGGUAUUUGUGGGGUGGUAGGAAUCAUUCAAUGCCCAGCUGCAACCCCCCGGGCUCACAGCACACUCUUAAGGCCAGUGCUACCAGCUCCCUUGGGUGGAUAGAGGAGCUACGGCUCAGAAGCAUGCCCACAGCUCCCCCAGGACCCUGAGGCCAGCCUGUGGCAGGGCCUGUGAUUUGAACCCCUCUACAAGGCUUCAAAUCAGUGCUGUUUGUCCUGGCCUCAUAAAACCUGGCUGCCCAGUUGGGAUUGGUGUCAUCUGCCUUGCUGAACUGGGCACUCCUUGGGAAGAGGGUGGGUGCUGCGAGAAGGCGGUGGAUCCUGGCUGUGCAACCUUCGCAGGUGGCUGAACCUCUCUGUGUCUCAGUUUGCUCAUCUGCAAAGGGGGCUGGGAUUCCUGCCUACAUGCAUGUGCUCAAGAGGGAAAGCCAGCCAGGCAUGGUGGCUCAUGCCUGUAAUCCCAGCACUUUGGGAGGCUGAGGUGGGC
RNAcentral lists this long non-coding RNA (2711 nucleotides) under Homo sapiens (human). RNAcentral's name for it is "HSALNT0352281". The record is from RNAcentral. Lineage: Eukaryota; Metazoa; Chordata; Mammalia; Primates; Hominidae.